This 408-nucleotide ribosomal RNA is filed under the name uncultured bacterium. RNAcentral describes it as "partial 16S ribosomal RNA". It matches the Rfam family "Bacterial small subunit ribosomal RNA", at positions 28 to 526 of the family's 1533-position model. The record is from RNAcentral.
GACGAACGCUGGCGGCGCGCCUAACACAUGCAAGUCGAGCGAAGCGGCGGACGGGUGAGUAACACGUGAGAAACAUGACUUUCACAAGGGGAUAGCCUCGGGAAACCGGGAUUAAUACCCUAUGGUUAAAGAUGGUCUCGCGUCUGAUUAGCUAGUUGGUGGGGUAACGGCCUACCAAGGCCAUGAUCAGUAACCGGCCUGAGAGGGGGAACGGUCACAUGGGAACUGAGACACGGUCCAAACGCCUACGGGAGGCAGCAGUGGGGAAUAUGGCACAAUGGAGGAAACUCUGAUGCAGCGACGCCGCGUGAGCGAUGAAGGCUUUCGAGUCGUAAAGCUCUGUCCUAUGGGAAGCGGUACCAUAGGAGGAAGCCCCGGCUAACUACGUGCCAGCAGCCGCGGUAAUUC